AGAGUUUGAUCCUGGCUCAGGACGAACGCUGGCGGCACGCUUAACACAUGCAAGUCGAACGAGAGAAGAGGAGCUUGCUUUUCUGAUCUAGUGGCGGACGGGUGAGUAACACGUGAGCAAUCUGCCUUUCAGAGGGGGAUACCGAUUGGAAACGAUCGUUAAUACCGCAUAACAUAAUUGAACCGCAUGAUUUGAUUAUCAAAGAUUUAUCGCUGAAAGAUGAGCUCGCGUCUGAUUAGCUAGUUGGUAAGGUAACGGCUUACCAAGGCGACGAUCAGUAGCCGGACUGAGAGGUUGAUCGGCCACAUUGGAACUGAGACACGGCCCAGACUCCUACGGGAGGCAGCAGUGGGGAAUAUUGCACAAUGGAGGAAACUCUGAUGCAGCGAUGCCGCGUGAGGGAAGAAGGUUUUAGGAUUGUAAACCUCUGUCUUCAGGGACGAAAAAAGACGGUACCUGAGGAGGAAGCUCCGGCUAACUACGUGCCAGCAGCCGCGGUAAUACGUAGGGAGCGAGCGUUGUCCGGAAUUACUGGGUGUAAAGGGAGCGUAGGCGGGAUCGCAAGUCAGAUGUGAAAACUAUGGGCUUAACCCAUAAACUGCAUUUGAAACUGCGGUUCUUGAGUGAAGUAGAGGUAAGCGGAAUUCCUAGUGUAGCGGUGAAAUGCGUAGAUAUUAGGAGGAACAUCAGUGGCGAAGGCGGCUUACUGGGCUUUAACUGACGCUGAGGCUCGAAAGCGUGGGGAGCAAACAGGAUUAGAUACCCUGGUAGUCCACGCCGUAAACGAUGAUUACUAGGUGUGGGGGGACUGACCCCUUCCGUGCCGCAGCAAACGCAAUAAGUAAUCCACCUGGGGAGUACGACCGCAAGGUUGAAACUCAAAGGAAUUGACGGGGGCCCGCACAAGCAGUGGAGUAUGUGGAUUAAUUCGAAGCAACGCGAAGAACCUUACCAGGUCUUGACAUCGUAUGCAUAGCUCAGAGAUGAGUGAAAUCUCUUCGGAGACAUAUAGACAGGUGGUGCAUGGUUGUCGUCAGCUCGUGUCGUGAGAUGUUGGGUUAAGUCCCGCAACGAGCGCAACCCUUACUGUUAGUUGCUACGCAAGAGCACUCUAGCAGGACUGCCGUUGACAAAACGGAGGAAGGUGGGGAUGACGUCAAAUCAUCAUGCCCCUUAUGACCUGGGCCUCACACGUACUACAAUGGCUGUCAACAGAGGGAAGCAAAGCCGCGAGGUGGAGCGAACCCCUAAAAGCAGUCUUAGUUCGGAUUGUAGGCUGCAACCCGCCUACAUGAAGUCGGAAUUGCUAGUAAUUGCAGAUCAGCAUGCUGCGAUGAAUACGUUCCCGGGCCUUGUACACACCGCCCGUCACGCCAUGGGAGUCGGUAACACCCGAAGCCUGUAGUCUAACCGCAAGGAGGACGCAGUCGAAGGUGGGACUGAUGACUGGGGUGAAGUCGUAACAAGGUA
This 1470-nucleotide ribosomal RNA is filed under the name metagenome. RNAcentral's name for it is "bacterial SSU rRNA". It matches the Rfam family "Bacterial small subunit ribosomal RNA". The record is from RNAcentral.